UAAUGAUUCCCCCAGUAGUGGCGAGCGACCGGGGAAGAGCCCAAACCGUCGUUGUUUCGGCAUCGGCGGGGUAGUAGGACCGCGAUAUUGUAUGUGUUUUGUGAGUAGAAUGUUCUGGAAAGAACAACCAUAGGAGGUGAAAGUCCUGUAUACGAAGCGAAACAUGGCAUAGCGGUAUCCUGAGUAGCGCGGAGCACGAGGAAUUCUGCGUGAAUCAGCCGGGACCAUCCGGUAAGGCUAAAUACUCCUGUGAGACCGAUAGUGAACGAGUACUGUGAAGGAAAGGUGAAAAGCACUCCGAUGAGGAGAGUGAAAUAGUUCCUGAAACCAUACGCCUACAAGCGGUCGGAGCUCAGCAAUGAGUGACGGCGUGCCUUUUGCAUAAUGAACCUACGAGUUACCGUCUCUGGCAAGGUUUAGUAUCUCAGAUACGUAUCCGCAGUGAAAGCGAGCCUGAAAUGGGCGUAUAGUCAGAGGGGGUAGACGCGAAACCAAGUGAUCUACACUUGGCCAGGUUGAAGUUCCGGUAACACGGAAUGGAGGACCGAACGGAUAAGCGUUGAAAAGCUUCCCGAUGAGCCGAGUGUAGGAGUGAAAGGCCAAUCAAACUUGGAGAUAGCUCGUACUCCCCGAAAUGCAUUUAGGUGCAGCGUGUAUCGAUCCGCAUGAGAGGUAGAGCGACCGAUAGGUCAAGAGGGCUUCACCGCCUAUCGAGACCUGACGAACUCCGAAUGCUCAUGCGCCGCAGAUAUGCAGUAAGGGGGCGGGUGCUAAGGUCCGUCCCCGAGAGGAGAAGAAUCCAGACCGCCAACUAAGGCCCCGAAAUUCUGUCUGAGUUAGUCUAACGAAGUCUGGUCCCUAUGACAGCUAGGAUGUUGGCUUGGAAGCAGCCAUUCAUUCAAAGAGUGCGUAACAGCUCACUAGUCGAGGGUCCGGGCAUGGAUAAUAAUCGGGUAUAAGGCAGAUGCCGAAGUUGCGGGAUAGUAAUCAUAAAAGUAUCGGUAGGGGAGCAUUCCAUCGGCGCAGAAUGCAAAGGAUGACCUUUGCUGGAGCUUAUGGAAAAGCAAAUGUAGGUAUAAGUAACGAUAAAAGGGGUUAGAUUCCCCUUCGCCGCAAGACCAAGGUUUCCCGGGCAAUGCCAAUCAGCCCGGGGUUAGUCAGGUCCUAAGUCUCAGCCGAACGGCGAUGGCGAUGGCAGAAACGGUUAAUAUUCCGUUACUGCCGCAUGGAGUGAUGUGGAGACGGAGCAGUGACACUACCGCGGAGAUACGGAAUUCUCCGUUGAAGGGUGUAGGCGCAGAU
RNAcentral lists this ribosomal RNA (1302 nucleotides) under Segatella bryantii. Its description in RNAcentral is "bacterial LSU rRNA". It matches the Rfam family "Bacterial large subunit ribosomal RNA", at positions 229 to 1531 of the family's 2925-position model. Lineage: Bacteria; Pseudomonadati; Bacteroidota; Bacteroidia; Bacteroidales; Prevotellaceae. The record is from RNAcentral.